AUUGAACGCUGGCGGCAUGCCUUACACAUGCAAGUCGAACGGCAGCACGGGUGCUUGCACCUGGUGGCGAGUGGCGAACGGGUGAGUAAUACAUCGGAACAUGUCCUGUAGUGGGGGAUAGCCCGGCGAAAGCCGGAUUAAUACCGCAUACGAUCUACGGAUGAAAGCGGGGGACCUUCGGGCCUCGCGCUAUAGGGUUGGCCGAUGGCUGAUUAACUAGUUGGUGGGGUAAAGGCCUACCAAGGCGACGAUCAGUAGCUGGUCUGAGAGGACGACCAGCCACACUGGGACUGAGACACGGCCCAGACUCCUACGGGAGGCAGCAGUGGGGAAUUUUGGACAAUGGGCGAAAGCCUGAUCCAGCAAUGCCGCGUGUGUGAAGAAGGCCUUCGGGUUGUAAAGCACUUUUGUCCGGAAAGAAAUCCUUGGCCCUAAUACGGUCGGGGGAUGACGGUACCGGAAGAAUAAGCACCGGCUAACUACGU
RNAcentral lists this ribosomal RNA (485 nucleotides) under uncultured bacterium. RNAcentral describes it as "partial 16S ribosomal RNA". It matches the Rfam family "Bacterial small subunit ribosomal RNA", at positions 30 to 506 of the family's 1533-position model. The record is from RNAcentral.